UUUACAAGGUCAUCAUCAAGCACAUCAGGUUCUUCAGCUGUUGGUUUGGAAUCGUACAUAAGAUCAGAAAUCCCGGUAGCAACCGCUGGAUCGCUUAAACCAGCUGAUGCACUGAUAUUGUGCCGCGUGCGGUAUAUGUCAAUCAGUUUGCACUGUCAUAAGAUUGCAAACGGGAAUUAAAUAAGAAAUAAGGGUAGAAAUAAGGUGAAACCAUAUGGACAAGUAAUCACACUCAUAUAUACAUGAAUCCUCUCAUCAAAUUUUAGAUCAAACAAUUAUUGAGUCAUUAACACAAAGAAAUGAUUUGUGCAGAGAAAAUAGUUGUAAAUUACCCUCACUCUUGAAUAAUGCUUACACUCCUUAGAAUGCUUAGUCAAGGAUCAUAAUAAAAUUUUCUUCUAUAUUCACCUCAUAAGUAUAUGGAUAACUAGUUUCAUAGUUACUUAACUAUAUAAAUAAUUAUAUCCUAAUUGUAUCAUGCUAAAUAUUUUAUUUAAGAUUAAAAGGUUUCACAACGGAAUUUUUUUGCAUGUAUACAUUUUUUUCUGAUGCUUCCACCAAUUCUUCAAAACUUGGACUACAAAUAUUUCCACCAACAUCGACAACAAGCUUGGUUAAUUGGCAUGCCAGUUUUGCAUGAGAAGAAAGGGCAUGGGAGUAAUGGGAAGAACAAAAGCUCAAUAAAGGGUCUACUUGCUGCAAAAUUGUGCCAAAAAUGAUAUUGGCUGUUUUAAAAGUUAACCAAAAUUGUGCAUAAUGAAACAAAGAGACGAGACAAAAAAGAGAAAACUCAAGUGAACCAUGUUUCAUGUUUGAGUAAAGCACUGAUCCAAAAGGCAGACAUUAUUCUUCUGGGAAUUUUCUAAAUGACAAUUGCAUCUCCAAUUUUGGAACAAACUUUAUGUAUAAAAAAAGAAGACUUCUUACUCCUCUUAUUCUUUCAAAUACAACACAAACUAAUCAUCAAAGCACAGUAAGUGACUCUGUACCUCACGGGCCCCAAAGGCAGAUACUUCGCUCUAGGAACAUAACAAAACAGUGAAACAAGAUCAAGCAACCUUUCAUGAGUUUCAUAUAAUUUCUUAAGUUCUUCAUCUGUCCACUCCUUAUUAGCAUUGUCAUGGUUGCGUAUUUCCCUGAUUGCGCAACAACAAACUAACGUGAAUACUAAAAUUUGAAACAUGUUAGGAAGAAAUUUCUUUUAUCACUUUUCUUUUCUUCGGGUAAAUUUUGUAUCACUUACUUAAUCAAAUCAUCUUGUGCUCUAUACAUCUCAUCAAGAACGUUUAUCAUGGGACUAAUUAAAACUCCAAGACCUGUGCCACUAGCUCCUUGAUCUUCCCCAUUACUGAGAUGCAUCUCAGAAAAUUGGGACUGAACUCCCCCCUGUGCUAACGUGUGCAAAAGUUCAUAAAUCUGUAGCCUAAACGGCUCACCAGACCUUAUUGCCAUAGUUGUAAGAGCUUGAGCAGCAAUAAUUCGAACCUGAAGAACCCAACAGGACCAACAAUAUGUAAGAAUCAAACAAGCAGCUGGUGAGUUCACAUGUCAACAAAUUUGUUUGUACACAAAUACUAAUGUGAAAGAAGUUUAAAAAUAUUGUAGAAUUAAGAAACAAGAUCCCGCAGAAAACUGUUUUACUCCUGCAUCCAUAACAAUGUUUUAACUACCAUUCCCAUCGUUCCAAUGCUUUCGAAAUCAUCCCUACACAGAUCAGUACAAUCCUUAACUGUGAUUGCCAGACCCAUGCUAGUAAGGGCAGGUUGACCAAAACUUGUAUUUAAUUCACCCUCUUAUCAUUCUAAGAUAGAGCCAAUAACAAACGACAAAUGGUUGACACUGAGUUGGAGGUUAAUACCUCCCAGCUGCCGCUGAACGCACACCUCUGAAGCCUAGUCAAUGCACCAGCAAGAGUAGGAUUACGAGAACUGGCAGCAGCAACCAUUUUAUCUGCAUCUAACAUCAUCAAUGCAGUACCAGGAGGGGUUGCAGAUUCCCAAGCAUAUUCAGAAGCAGCAUAAUUUGCAUUUUCUCCAAGAAACCAUACCUAACAAUGCAAUUACUCAGCAAUAAAGAGAAAACGAAAUAAUAAAGAACCAACUGAUUAAACAAAUGCUUACUGCUGCUUGUACUAAUCUCUGUAAUGCAAGAGCUGACUUUGGAUCGGAUGCAGAUACCAUGUCUACCGAUGUGAGGCCCAACAUUGACCCAGGUUGUGGUGGUGGUAAAUCAAGAACUAUGGUAACCGCUUCUAAUGCAGUGUGUUUCCCAUCCGGACCAGCUCCAACAAGACAGGUCUGAAAUUGCAAAUGGUCCAUAGUAACAAUCAAUCAAAACAAUCACAUAUACAAGGAUGUCAAUGACCUAAUAAACAGUGCUUCUACUGAAGAUUUCAGUAUAAGCAAGUUGUUAAAGGAAAAGGAUACCAAGGAUAACUAAUGUAAAAUGGAGACAGUCUUUCAACUCUUCAAGAGGUAGAAGAGGGUACUAAAUCCAAAAGGUUGACUGAAAACAGAGAAACAGAACUGGGCUAGAGAAAAAGUACAAGACCUAGCAAAGUAUAAAAUACAGAAAAAUAAAGGGAAAGGGAAAGAAUAACAUUCAGGUUUACAAUAUGAACAACAUAAACAAGGUUCAGUUCCACUCCACUUCUUUCUUGAGAAGAAACAUUUUUCGGCACAAACUCUGAUGUUACAAGUGGUGGACAAGAGUCCAGUCUUAAGUACAAAAAACAACCACCAGAGCAUGCCAACCAUUCUCACUACCUAAACACCUAACCAACUGCCUUUCAAUCCAACAAAACAGAUUAAAGAUUUACACAGCUAAAAGCACCUCACACAGAUGCCCAGUUCCAGUUCAUGGAACCCAUCUAUUUUUUCAUAAAAAAAAAAUAACAAAGAACACUAGCUAUAACCCAUUUAAUAAUAAUGGGCCCUGGCUAUAAUAACUAACUCCGCCACAUGCUACCUUGCACUGCAAUAUCAUUGCUACGGUGGUUACCAGGUUAUCAGACUAAAUCAUUAAGAAAGGAAAAUAGAAAGAAAAUCCUCACUUAACAAGUCUGUAACUGUAAGAAUGGACUGAAUGGUAUGCCUCUCACUUAGGUUCAAUUUUUUUGAGAUGAAACACAAACUUUAUUAAGAACAAUCUGUACAAAGAGUGGGGUUGCACCAGAAGUCCAUUUUAAUAUUUGAAGUAUAUGUUAAACUAACUCCGCCACAUGCUACCUUGCACUGCAAUAUCAUUGCUAUGGUGGUUACCAGGUUACCAGACUAAAUCAUUAUGAAAGGAAAAUAGAAAGAUAAUCCUCACUUAACAAGUCUGUAACUGUAAGAAUGGACUGAAUGGUAUGCCUCUCACUUAGGUUCAAUUUUUUUGAGAUGAAACACAAACUUUAUUAAGAACAAUCUGUACAAAGAGUGGGGUUGCACCAGAAGUCCAUUUUAAUAUUUGAAGUAUCUGUUAAACUACUUAAAAGAAAAACCUCGAAACAAAGAAGAAAAAACAGAGUAUUCCAAGUUCUUAACUGAAAUUAGCACACAGUAGACUUCCAAUCUCACUACAUAUGUUAGAGAAAGAAAGGUCCUUAUAUUCUGAUGUAACCGCCUACUUGAAUAAUCCAACUCAGUUUACCUCUCUACACAACUCCAUCACAAAUUUAAGGCUAAUAGACAAUGCAGGGGGUAUAUAAUCUGCAAUUUCCCUGAAGGAGUCAUUUAUUAAAAGAAAAAAAGAAGGUACCCACCAUAUCAUCAUACGCCACUCAAGCCCAUAAAAGUAAAAACAAACAUGAAAAUAAAAAAGUACGGAAUAUAACUUACUGACUAGUCACAUAAGCAAGCAACGGACAAACAUGCGGAACCAUAGACUUUACAAUAAGGAAUGCAAGAAAAGGACAAGACAUAGAGAAUUACAUUUUAGAGAGAUAAGAACUACAUAUAGUGAGGUUUAAAGGAAUUUACCUUCCACAGUAGCUGUAAUACAUCAGCAUCAAUCUUGCCUGGAACUUUAGUUGCAAAGAUCCUUGCGAUUUCAAGAAGAGUUACAGCCAUAUCUGGAGUUGCCUAAGAGAACAAAUUAAGAACUUUUUUAGACUUGGUAACUGGCAUGCACAACACUAAAGAAAUUAAACAAAACCCUAACGUGGGAAAUUUGGCAAUAGUCAUCAUAGAGAUCUUUGUCCAUUAUCGAUUCUACUGCCAGUAAGAUUAAUUGGACAUGGUAUGGUUAACCCCCCUUCCCAACAUCCCAUCCAAGUGCUCCAUACUUUUAUUUUCAAAGUUGAGUAAAACAAAAUAUAGUCUAAAAUGCAAAAUCCAACAGACAGAUAAAUUUGAUGAUUUCGUGGUCAUGUAUGGACCUGAUGGUCUUCUGAUCUCCUUUGAUUUCAGCUUUUGUUCUCUUUGAUUUUUUCUUGUUUAAAAUUAACACAUCAAAAUGAUAUUCUUAACACAGCCUUGUACCUUUUUCAAUAAAUUUUCCAAAAACUAACGUCUAUUUUCUUUAUUUUGUAGAAAAGAUCCAACUUUUUAAGUGGUCCGCCCCAACCUUCCCAACCAAGGGUCCAGUUCUCAUCAUCAAAAGAACAAGAUACAGUAAUGUACAACCAAAAACAUUACAAUUAAAACAAAAGCUUUUUACUCUUUAGACGCAAACUACCAUGAUAAGCAGCAGGAAACAAGAUGAAAUAAGUUAAAAUAUGCAGGCUUAUAUACGUUAAAAUCAGAUUUUGGCCAUAUACCUUUCCUCCUAUUAUCGUCUGAUUGGGGAGCAGCAGUUGGCUAGAAUUGGGUGAGAAUUAUCUUUAGUGUUUGGAUUUAUAUAUAUAUGUACAUUGUUUCUCCUACACAUAUCGACUUCCAAACAAAUGCCAUUUACAAUCAAAUACUUUCUUGUUAACUACAUACCUUAAAACGAGCAUGCAAAGUGAGUAAAAUGUCAUUCAAAAGAGUAGCUGGCCAAGAUGGAUCAGAAAGCUCUGAUGCAAUAAUAGAUUCUAGUUGAUCAAACGAAUCAUGGGGGCUUUGCAUCCAGAUCAGUGCCUUAAUUACCAUUGCCCGAACAUAAACACACUCACACGCCACAGUUGUCCUCACAACUUCCAUCAACGAAGCUAACAAACUAGCAAUUGUAUCCUUUCCACCUACUCCAGCAGAUAAAGAAGUUCUGCGAAUACCUAUGUGAAAAGAAAAAGAAAAAGAACAGAUAAAUAACUUCUACGGGUUUCUUAUCCUUUAAAAAGAAAACAUUAACAGGUUUUAGGACAUCGCAUUCAGUGGAUUUGCUUUUUUUUUUUUUUUUCUUUGAGCAUUUGUAUUGGCAAUCCACAACACAAAUAUAUAAUAUUUAACUUGCUGUUGUUCCUCAACAACCACAGCAAAGAGACAACAUAACUUUAUCAGUUCUCCACUGCCUCUGUACAUUUGUUCAAUAAUAAAACAAAAGAAAAAGUCCAACACCAAAAAGUCUUACUAGUCACUCCAAAAAGAACCCACACCUUAGUUUUCCAUUAAUGAUAAUUUCAGCUCAAAUGUAUUGCAACAAAAAUGAAAUAUUUCCAGUGACAAAUAAAGCUGCAUAAUCAACACCACAUACAUAUCUCAAAAGACCAUUCAUUUUUUAUGCUGCCAAGAAUUAAUAAAGAUGCUAUGGAAGACAUGAAGCAGCAACUAAAAGGUUGAAGGAUUCUUGUCAAAAAUAAAAUGUAAAAAGAAUUACUUUCAGGAUGUGAGGUUUCAUUGCUAUCCGAAUCCUGUGAAUCGAGAGUCUCGGAAAAUGUAUUAACAUGCACCGUUUCAUCUAUAUCCUGAAUGCCGACAGAAAAUGCAGCAGCCCGACUUUUCCCCAUCUCCUGCACAACUCUUGCUGCGGCAUGGAGUACUGGCCUAGAGAAACUGCGGAAAGAACUCUCCAACCUGAAAAGACCCGAUGGAUUAAAACAAUCUCAUUUGAAAACCUGAGAAACCAGACUCCUGUAUAUGAAAAUCUGCUUCGAAAACAACCUUAAUUUUUAGCUCCUUUUGAUAUCAAAAUGAACGAGACAGACAGACAGAGAUAAAAAAAUCCUUAAACCUUCUCAUUACAAGUUUAAUAAGCGGUUGUGGACGCCUUGUCUUCUGAGAUUUAUCUUUAGAGGAAUCUUUUACGGAAGGUGCUUCUGGCAACUUGAGAAUUUCCCUAGUUAAUCGGUACCAUCCAGCGGCUCGCUCUUCAGAACUACAUUAUGGAAGGGUAAGCUAAAAAAUUUAUAUAUAAACAAAUGUAAGAAAACUGAUAUCCAAGUAAAUGAGGAGGUGGGUAGAGCACUAGUUAUACAACCACCUACCAUCCACUAUAACUAUGAAGUAACAAAAUAUAAAAGGAAGGUAUAAACACCUCUCUGCGUUAUCGUGUUUUCCUAAUAUACAUAAGAUUGCCUCAAAACAGACUCUUUCACUGGGAUCCAGGAGAAGUUGAUAAAGCACAGAAUUGAACUGAGAUCUAAUAUCAGGCCUCUCUGUAGACGUAACAUUAAAAAAAAACAUAUAGCAUAAAUCAUACAACUUGUCAGAAAACAAAUGCAUCAAAUAGAGAAAAAAAAUGAAGAAUCAUCAUGUAGAGUUACCAUCCAAAGCUCGUGCUCUAGAAAUUGUAUAGCACAACCUCGCUAGAGCAACUCUAGCAAG
Molecule: long non-coding RNA, 6665 nt
Filed under: Malus domestica (apple)
Lineage: Eukaryota; Viridiplantae; Streptophyta; Magnoliopsida; Rosales; Rosaceae
Description: long non-coding RNA (MDOM_LNC003485)
Source: RNAcentral